Acomys russatus (golden spiny mouse) is the source of this 79-nucleotide small nucleolar RNA. RefSeq annotates it as small nucleolar RNA U2-19. The transcript has a single exon. The record is from RefSeq and is a predicted model, not a curated record. Lineage: Eukaryota; Metazoa; Chordata; Mammalia; Rodentia; Muridae.
AAUCAGUAACAGAAAUAGCCAAACCUGAGCAUCAGAGGACCUUCUGGUCUGCAGGAUGCAUGAUCUCAUAGUUCUGAGA